GACGAACGCUGGCGGCGUGCCUAAUACAUGCAAGUUGAGCGCUGAAGGUUGGUACUUGUACCAACUGGAUGAGCAGCGAACGGGUGAGUAACGCGUGGGGAAUCUGCCUUUGAGCGGGGGACAACAUUUGGAAACGAAUGCUAAUACCGCAUAAAAACUUUAAACACAAGUUUUAAGUUUGAAAGAUGCAAUUGCAUCACUCAAAGAUGAUCCCGCGUUGUAUUAGCUAGUUGGUGAGGUAAAGGCUCACCAAGGCGAUGAUACAUAGCCGACCUGAGAGGGUGAUCGGCCACAUUGGGACUGAGACACGGCCCAAACUCCUACGGGAGGCAGCAGUAGGGAAUCUUCGGCAAUGGACGAAAGGCUGACCGAGCAACGACGCGUGAGUGAAGAAGGGUUUCGGAUCGUAAAACUCUGUUGGUAGAGAAGAACGUUGGUGAGAGUGGAAAGCUCAUCAAGUGACGGUAACUACCCAGAAAGGGACGGCUAACUACGUG
Molecule: ribosomal RNA, 497 nt
Filed under: uncultured bacterium
Lineage: Bacteria
Description: partial 16S ribosomal RNA
Rfam family: Bacterial small subunit ribosomal RNA
Source: RNAcentral